This 430-nucleotide ribosomal RNA is filed under the name Bacillota bacterium. RNAcentral's name for it is "Firmicutes bacterium partial 16S ribosomal RNA". It matches the Rfam family "Bacterial small subunit ribosomal RNA", at positions 355 to 776 of the family's 1533-position model. The record is from RNAcentral. RNAcentral also lists the same sequence under 1 other name. Lineage: Bacteria; Bacillati; Bacillota.
UGGGGAAUAUUGGACAAUGGGCGGAAGCCUGAUCCAGCCAUGCCGCGUGUGUGAAGAAGGCCUUUUGGUUGUAAAGCACUUUAAGCGAGGAGGAGGCUACUUGGAUUAAUACUCUAGGAUAGUGGACGUUACUCGCAGAAUAAGCACCGGCUAACUCUGUGCCAGCAGCCGCGGUAAUACAGAGGGUGCGAGCGUUAAUCGGAUUUACUGGGCGUAAAGCGUGCGUAGGCGGCUUCUUAAGUCGGAUGUGAAAUCCCUGAGCUUAACUUAGGAAUUGCAUUCGAUACUGGGAAGCUAGAGUAUGGGGGAGGAUGGUAGAAUUCCAGGUGUAGCGGUGAAAUGCGUAGAGAUCUGGAGGAAUACCGAUGGCGAAGGCAGCCAUCUGGCCUAAUACUGACGCUGAGGUACGAAAGCAUGGGGAGCAAACAGG